GGACACUUAGCUCAGUUGGUUAGAGCGCGUCCUUGACGUGGACGAGGUCAGAAGUUCGACUCUUCUAGUGUCCACCA
RNAcentral lists this transfer RNA (77 nucleotides) under Candidatus Buchananbacteria bacterium. RNAcentral's name for it is "tRNA-Val". It matches the Rfam family "tRNA". Rfam says of the family: Transfer RNA (tRNA) molecules are approximately 80 nucleotides in length. Their secondary structure includes four short double-helical elements and three loops (D, anti-codon, and T loops). Further hydrogen bonds mediate the characteristic L-shaped molecular structure. tRNAs have two regions of fundamental functional importance: the anti-codon, which is responsible for specific mRNA codon recognition, and the 3' end, to which the tRNAs corresponding amino acid is attached (by aminoacyl-tRNA synthetases). tRNAs cope with the degeneracy of the genetic code in two manners: having more than one tRNA (with a specific anti-codon) for a particular amino acid; and 'wobble' base-pairing, i.e. permitting non-standard base-pairing at the 3rd anti-codon position. The record is from RNAcentral. Lineage: Bacteria; Candidatus Buchananiibacteriota.